UUUUGUAUAAUGGGUCAGCGACUUAUAUUCUGUAGCAAGGUUAACCGCAUAGGGGAGCCGAAGGGAAACCGAGUCUUAACUGGGCGUUAAGUUGCAGGGUAUAGACCCGAAACCCGGUGAUCUAGCCAUGGGCAGGUUGAAGGUUGGGUAACACUAACUGGAGGACCGAACCGACUAAUGUUGAAAAAUUAGCGGAUGACCUGUGGCUGGGGGUGAAAGGCCAAUCAAACCGGGAGAUAGCUGGUUCUCCCCGAAAGCUAUUUAGGUAGCGCCUCGUGAAUUCAUCUCCGGGGGUAGAGCACUGUUUCGGCUAGGGGGCCAUCCCGGCUUACCAACCCGAUGCAAACUGCGAAUACCGGAGAAUGUUAUCACGGGAGACACACGGCGGGUGCUAACGUCCGUCGUGAAGAGGGAAACAACCCAGACCGCCAGCUAAGGUCCCAAAGUCAUGGUUAAGUGGGAAACGAUGUGGGAAGGCCCAGACAGCCAGGAUGUUGGCUUAGAAGCAGCCAUCAUUUAAAGAAAGCGUAAUAGCUCACUGGUCGAGUCGGCCUGCGCGGAAGAUGUAACGGGGCUAAACCAUGCACCGAAGCUGCGGCAGCGACACUAUGUGUUGUUGGGUAGGGGAGCG
Molecule: ribosomal RNA, 631 nt
Filed under: Citrobacter koseri
Lineage: Bacteria; Pseudomonadati; Pseudomonadota; Gammaproteobacteria; Enterobacterales; Enterobacteriaceae
Description: partial 23S ribosomal RNA
Rfam family: Bacterial large subunit ribosomal RNA
Source: RNAcentral